Molecule: ribosomal RNA, 450 nt
Filed under: uncultured bacterium
Lineage: Bacteria
Description: partial 16S ribosomal RNA
Rfam family: Bacterial small subunit ribosomal RNA
Source: RNAcentral
GUGGGGAAUUUUGGACAAUGGGCGCAAGCCUGAUCCAGCAAUGCCGCGUGCAGGAAGAAGGCCUUCGGGUUGUAAACUGCUUUUGUACGGAACGAAACGGUCCUGGCUAAUACCCGGGGCUAAUGACGGUACCGUAAGAAUAAGCACCGGCUAACUACGUGCCAGCAGCCGCGGUAAUACGUAGGGUGCGAGCGUUAAUCGGAAUUACUGGGCGUAAAGCGUGCGCAGGCGGUUCUGUAAGACAGGCGUGAAAUCCCCGGGCUCAACCUGGGAAUUGCGCUUGGGAUUGCGGUGCUGGAGUGCGGCAGAGGGGGAUGGAAUUCCGCGUGUAGCAGUGAAAUGCGUAGAUAUGCGGAGGAACACCGAUGGCGAAGGCAAUCCCCUGGGCCUGCACUGACGCUCAUGCACGAAAGCGUGGGGAGCAAACAGGAUUAGAUACCCGAGUAGUCC